AUGAAGAUGAGCCAACAAUGGAUGUACGAUGACCGAUGCUCUCCCGAGUUCAUUAAUGGCGUGCAAACUUUUCUGCUUGCGGCUGAGGCAAACAAGCGGGCGGAUGGUUUUAUGCCUUGUCCAUGUUUAGUCUGUAAGAAUGAUCACAAUUACUCUACGUCAAGAACCAUUCACGUCCACCUGUUUAAGUCCGGUUUCAUGCCCCACUAUAAUGUUUGGACCAAGGACGGAGAAAGAGGGGUUAUGAUGGAAGACAAUGAAGAAGAAGAGGAAGACGACAGCUAUCCUGGCCAUGGGUUCCCUGAAUACGAUGAUACAACAAUGGGGGAAGAAGCUGAGCCAGCAAUGCGGGAAGAAGCUGAAGAAGAGGCAUCAGAUGAGCCCGCUGAUGAUCUAGGUCAGGCCAUUGUCGAUGUCAAGAGAAACUGCGCAAGUGAUUUGGAGAAGAAGAAGUUGCAGCGCAUGUUAGAGGAUCACAAGAAAUUGUUGUACCCGAAUUGCGAAGCUGACAAGAAAAAGUUGGGCACCACACUGGAAUUGCUGCAAUGGAAGGCAGAGAAUGGUGUAUCUUACAAGGGAUUUGUAAAGUUGCUGGUAAUGAUAAAGAAUAUGCUUCCAAAGGACAACGAAUUGCCCGACAGUACGUACGAAGCAAAGAAGGUUGUCUGCCCUCUAGGAUUAGAGGUGCAGAAGAUACAUGCAUGCCCUAAUGACUGCAUCCUCUACCGCGGUGAGUAUGAGGAUUUGAACGCUUGCCCGGUAUGCGGUGCAUUGCGCUAUAAGAUCAGGCGCGAUGACCCUAGUGAUGUCGAGGGCGAGCGCUCCAGGAAGAAGAUUCCUGCCAAGGUGAUGUGGUAUGCUCCUAUAAUACCACGGUUGAAACGUUUGUUCCAAAACAAAGAGCAUGCCAAGGCGAUGCGAUGGCACAGAGAAGACUGUAAGAAAGACGGAAAGUUGAGAGUACCUGUUGACGGGUCGCAGUGGAGAAAAAUCGAGAGAAAGUACGGGAAGGAGUUUGCAGAUGACGCACGGAACGUAUGGUUUGGUCUAAGCGCAGAUGGCAUUAACCCUUUUGGGGAGCAGAGCAGCAACUAUAGCACCUGGCCUGUGUCUCUAUGUUUGUAUAACCUUCCUCCUUGGUUGUGCAUGAAGCGGAAGUUCAUUAUGAUGCCAGUGCUCAUCCAAGGCCCUAAGUAA
Molecule: ribosomal RNA, 1197 nt
Filed under: Triticum aestivum (bread wheat)
Lineage: Eukaryota; Viridiplantae; Streptophyta; Magnoliopsida; Poales; Poaceae
Description: partial small subunit ribosomal RNA
Source: RNAcentral